GGGAGACAUGGUCCAAGCCCGGUGAAAAGAUGAAAUAAAAAAAGAUUAUGAUGUCAAAAUCUUGCGCCCUUGUUUUUCCAAUUUCCCGGCUACUGCGUGUUGAUUAUACUUAUUUAAGUAUGACGUAUAUGUAUAUUCUAUUUUUUUUCUUUUUUUAUGGCAUCAUCCGGGUUUUCAAGACCCGGUCAAGGAAUUGGAAAAUUCCUUGAAUGGAUUUCUCUGAGCACAAAAUAGAGUGUUUAGUUGAAUAUUCGUUGGUGUCGAAAUGGAGCACCAAGAGUGGUUGGACAUCUAUGGUAAUUAAUGGUAACAUUGAUUAUCAUAGACGGUCGAUAUACUUUUGUAAUCUCCGAUCAUCAACCAAAUCCAUACCAUUAUUGUAGAAAGACAAUAAUGGCUGUGGAUUAAAGUUGAUUGAUUCCUAAGUUGGAACCUUAGGCGCCCCCCCCCCGAAUCCGAUUUAUUUGGAUCAAUAGGGAGAGUAGAUUAUGAUGGUGUUUUACGACGUUAGCAUUAAAGAA
RNAcentral lists this long non-coding RNA (521 nucleotides) under Solanum tuberosum (potato). Its description in RNAcentral is "long non-coding RNA (STUB_LNC000717)". Lineage: Eukaryota; Viridiplantae; Streptophyta; Magnoliopsida; Solanales; Solanaceae. The record is from RNAcentral.